CCCUUAGAUGUUCUGGACCGCACGCGCGCUACACUGAUCAGUGCAACAAGCAUCCGUCCUUGGCCGACAGGCCCGGGCAAUCUUUGAACGCUGAUCGUGAUGGGGAUAGACUUUUGCAAUUUUUGGUCUUCAACGAGGAAUUCCUAGUAAACGCAAGUCAUCAACUUGCAUUGAUUACGUCCCUGCCCUUUGUACACACCGCCCGUCGCACCUACCGAUUGAAUGGUCCGGUGAAGCCUCCGGAUUGGCGUGCACCCUCGGGUGCUGCCGAGAAGUUGGCUAAACCUUACCAUUUAGAGGAAGGUGAAGUCGUAACA
Molecule: ribosomal RNA, 317 nt
Filed under: uncultured eukaryote
Lineage: Eukaryota
Description: partial 18S ribosomal RNA
Rfam family: Eukaryotic small subunit ribosomal RNA
Source: RNAcentral